CUGUAUUGUUUGGUUGAUUUUGCAGGCCUGGGGCCUGCAGUCUGAGCAUCUCUUGGGAGGAUGACGGUAUGUCUUGUCUUUGAAACCCAAUAUUGUUCUCAUUGUUUUGCUUUCUUAUGAUUGUUUUGCUUUAUUCAAUAUUCUGUUUUGAUUGGUUUUAUUCUAGUUUUGAUUUUUCUAAGCCUGAUGGAAUGGACAACUAUUGUUAAGAUAACAAGAUAUAGUCUGGUAACUAUUGUUGUUUUCUUUUUAUCCUGCUUUGGUGUUAUGUACCAAGUUUGCUGCUUUGUUUUGAUGGCUUUGUUCUGUUUUGUUGGGCUUUACUGUCUUUAAAAUAAAAAAAUUAAAAACAAAACCAAAAAACGAGAAUGAUAUUGGCAAAAACAAGACAAUAGGAAAUCCACAAUAAUUACUAUAUUGUAUAUUGUUAUCUUCUAAAUAGAGCCUCAGAUUACCAGCUUUAGGUCUGCAAAGUCAAUCAAAUAAUACAACUAUUAAGUUUUCUUUACUUCAAUUGCUGUCAUCUUAGUCUGCUUUCAGCCGGGGCAGGGAGGGCGUGGUGGGGAGGAUGGGAUAUCUUCUCUGUUGGCUCAGGCUGUUGCUGGACACAUGAGAGAGGGUACUGUUGCCUUUGGGUCACUCCCUCCCAGCUGGCCUUAUAGCUGCUGGCACACAAGAGGGUAGAAAAUUAAAUGUGUUAUAAAAUGUCACCAUGAUUGUCAUGUUACAAUAUUACGUAUGGCUUUUGAUUUCAAAUUUUCUAUGUAACUUGUAUGACUGUUUCUGUACAACUGUUGUCUGUUAAUAUUCUACUAGGAUCAGCUACUCGAACAUCCAUGGUUGACAGGAAAUGAUGGUCCUCCAUGUAUUUCAAGGUGCUUAAUAUUCAGAUAAAUUUACAAUAUUAGGUUCACUACGUUACAUUGUAAUGUCAUUAACCAUCUCUUUUGGAUGUUCAGCAACUGAGGUUUGGAGAUCAAAAACUAUAAAAAUAGAUGGGCUAGGAGGACAGCCAAUAUUUUGGCCCCAGCCCUCUGAGGUCAUCGAAGACCGAGGAUAUAAGAAAACUUCUACUGUGACAUCCUGUAACUUAGUGAGUCCCCAGUUUUUAAAUUAAGGCAAUUGUUAGUUCACAGGGGAAGGACAUCUGUGUUAUAUGGUGUGCCUAAGGAAAGUCAGCAGGAGAGAAAAGUCUCCCAAGCUUUCAUAGAAAGCAACUUUGCAAGCAAUGGCUGUGACUCAUCUUGAUGGCUGACACUGACAGAUCUAAGAGAUGCUGUACAUGGUUCCAAGACUUCCAGUCUCCAGAGUAUAACAUCUGGGGAGAGCUACACACCACAUCAUUCUAUGCCAUGCUGGAAAGUCCAGGAGUAAACAGCAAAUCACUUCUCUGUCACAUCAUGUCACUGCUCUACUGGAACAUACAUCUCCCUGUGAUGCCAAACUCAGUGAUGAUAAAGAACUAAAGAAGCAGUUUUCCUUUUUAUCGGUACCGGGGAUCGAACUCACAACUGCCUGCUUUCAAGGCAGGCGCUUAUGCCGAUGAGCUAAAUCCCAACCCCUAAAGAAGCAGUUUUAAAAAAGAGAAGAUGGUUUUUGAAUAUGGGGAAGGAGGAAAAGAGAAAUGAAAGUUACUCUGGAUUAGUAUGAAGAUUCAAAAGUAAAAUUACUCUAAAUUCGUGCCUCCGGCUCCUCUUACUGAGAUCCUUGUCCCAUCUAGGUUCCUAGAAUCUGAUUGGUCCCUUGGCUUGACUUUCAUCCUUACUUUGAAUUUCUUCUGGCUAUUCAACCUUUUUGUGUGCUUUGGUGGAGGGUAACACUAUGAGUGGGGCUUUAUAGACUGUAAAGGGGAAGUAAGGGGGAAGUUUGUGAUUUUUGCAUUAAUCAUGCUACUUAGGAACUUUGAGCUGAGUUCUUUGUCUUCUCAAUUGUUGGAGUUUAACUGUCUUUGUCUUUCUAAUUCCUCAAUGUCUAACUGACAUUUCCCUUCUAAUUGCUGGAGUCUGGCUACAGAGGUUGAAGCUGUCUUAUUAAUUUUCAAUAAAGCUCAAUGAGGCCUUUAUCCUACUUUUUCCCUACCUGCAGUGCUUUACCAGAGUGUGAAAAAUAAGUUGUUGAAUCUGUCUUAUGUUAUUAUUGUAGCAGCCCAAAUUGACUAAAAUACUACCACUCACCAA
Cavia porcellus (domestic guinea pig) is the source of this 2177-nucleotide long non-coding RNA. RefSeq lists it as uncharacterized. The transcript is spliced from 2 exons. The record is from RefSeq and is a predicted model, not a curated record. Lineage: Eukaryota; Metazoa; Chordata; Mammalia; Rodentia; Caviidae.